RNAcentral lists this ribosomal RNA (432 nucleotides) under uncultured bacterium. RNAcentral describes it as "partial 16S ribosomal RNA". It matches the Rfam family "Bacterial small subunit ribosomal RNA", at positions 338 to 795 of the family's 1533-position model. The record is from RNAcentral.
CCUACGGGGGGCUGCAGUGGGGAAUAUUGGGCAAUGGGCGAAAGCCUGACCCAGCGACGCCGCGUGGGUGAUGAAGGCCUUCGGGUCGUAAAGCCCUGUCAGGAGGAAAGCGGUACCUCCGAAGGAAGCACCGGCCAAUUCCGUGCCAGCAGCCGCGGUAAGACGGAAGGUGCAAGCGUUGCUCGGAAUCACUGGGCGUAAAGGGUGCGUAGGCGGCUUCUUAAGUCUGGUGUGAAAGCCCAGGGCUCAGCUCUGGAAGUGCACUAGAUACUGGGAAGCUUGAGUACCGGAGGGGAGAGUGGAAUUCCUGGUGUAGCGGUGAAAUGCGUAGAUAUCAGGAGGAAUACCGGUGGCGAAAGCGACUCUCUGGACGGUACUGACGCUGAGGCACGAAAGCGUGGGGAGCAAACAGGAUUAGAUACCCUUGUAGUC